AUAAUAUAGGUUUCAUAGAAAGAAAAUGACAGUGGUCACACACAUAUUACAUUAUAAUUAUGAAAUCAUGAAGUUCAUAUGUUUAGAUCAGCUGUAGAUAUUUCUAAUUUGCAAGCCUACUUGUAAGUGGCUAAAAAUUGGUAGACUAUUUACAUGCAUUUGUGUUGUAAAUUGGGGAAAGUAGCUCUUCAGUCUUCAGUUAGAAAUGUUCCUCUUCACAAGUAUUGGUCAGAAUAAAAGCAGGUAGACAGGUCCAGCACAAUCUCUUGAUUUAGCUAUAUAGCUUGAAAAAGCUAUAUAGCUUUAUAAAGCUAUUCAAAAUAGCUUAAUAAAGCUAUUUAUAUGCAGUUUUUAAAGAAAAUAUUUAUUGUAAGAAAUGGACGAAAAAUCGUAAUUAACUUGCUACUCAUAUUUGUGCCAUUGACCAUUAUAAACUUGACCCAAAUUAAAGAUAGAUUUAACUCUGCAGCUUUUAAACACUUUUAAGCAAAAACUAUAUUUCCAUUGUUUGGGUAACUGUUCACCACUUUGUGUGCAAUGAAGCGUGGAUAAGUAUGAUUUCAUUGUGAUAAAUUAUUACCAAUCAAUUAUCUUGUUCACCAUAACUGACCUCCUUUAUAUUUCAUUCAAGAAGUAACUGUGUGGUCAUGAAUCAGUUGCCCCAAAACUUAUAGUGCAAAGUCUCUUAAGGAGACGCAAACUUAUGAGUAAUCUUUACAUGCAUUGUUUACAGAACAGUUCAAAGUUGAAAAUUAUCACUGCACUAAAGUGCGAUUUUUUAUACAUACUGAAAAAAUUACACAUUUAAGAAAAAUAUAUGACAAAAUAGCUAAAUGAAGCUACUCUUAAUAGCUUAAUAAAGCUAUUUAGCUUAUUCAAGCUAUAUAGCUAAAUCUGGAGAUUGUACUGGACCUGGUAGAGAUUGAUGGCUAUCAUUACUCUCUGAUUAUUGUUAAUUUUUCGAGUUUAGAAAUUUCAAUUGAUGCUUAUUACCAUGAUACUUUAACACCUUCUAAUCUAAAUACUUGUACGAGUACACUGAGUGUUUGUGCUCUUUUCAUAUGCAAUUGUGCACAUAUGUAGAGUAAACGCCGUAAGUCUGCAGUGCACAAGAGGGGUAGUGGAAGUAAAAAAAAAGUGGCAAGACAUGCAGUCUGCCGUCAAGAAGAAGGAAGCUCAACGGAGGAAAAACUUGACGCAAACUGGAGGAGGGCCUUCACAGCUCCCCAUGGUGAAGCCUUGGGAGGAGAAAGUUUGUUGAACAUGCCAUUAUUCUAUUUCAAUCUUUACAGUGUUAAAAGGCAAUCCAAACCUUCAAGAAGUAUUUCAUACUGUUGUAUUCAUAUGUUAAUUUGUUACAAGUGAUCCUUACAAGGAUAUUAAGGUAGGUCCGUAACAAUGAAAUGAUAAACUUCAAGUUGAAGAUAUCCAUGGUGUAACAUACAAAGACAAGCUGUUAUUGUGUCAAUUUGUGUGUACUGGUCCAUUGAUUUAGCAAUUACAAAAGCCCAAAUGGUAUUGUUUUGGGGGUAUAAUUGACAAUAUGAUAUAAAAUUAAUAUUUAGCUACAUGCUAAGGUUCUGUCAUUUAGUGAAUGAAUGCUUGAAAUUUGUAAAUGUCUGAGAAGACAGAUCAUUGUGGGUAAGUAUGAACUAACCAGUAUUGAUGCUUCACUGACAAUCUCUCGUGAACAUAUGUUGUUCUGUGUAAGUCCUUGUCUGUCCUUUUAUGUACCCUAAAUGUAUAUAACUGUCUUAGGAGAUAAUGGGUUCAAAUCCCAUCACUACUGCACAUGUUUUCAAGUAGUGUUUUAAGGUAGGUCUCCAAGUUCUAGUAUCAACUAAUAUAACUGUUAUGUUUGCAUGCUGUUUUAUUUCUCCCUUGUUUUGUCUCCAACAUCAAUCCAAUUUAAAUCUAAAUGAUAUUGUUUAUAAAAUUGUUAUUAAUUAUGAAUCAUUUGCUUUACAAAAAAAUGAAGAUGAAAUGAAAAUGAUUUUUUUUCAAAUGCUUCUGACAGGAUGCUUUAUUUAUAACUCCUUUUUCUUUAUGGAAUGAAUUGUAAAUUGUCAGACUAUAGUAAGGAAAUAUGUACUUUCAACUCCAUGAAAAUUUUAGAUAUUGCAGUUGAUUCCUCAGUCAGCCAUAUCUGGAAUUGAGGAUGGGGUGGACACCAGUGAAGUCAGGUCUUCCCUUCAGAUGUCCCAAAAACCAAGUUGCCUUGAGAUACAGCCAUUUAUUGUCACUGAGGUUCCAGCUGAAGAACUUGAAAAUCUAGACACUAAUAGUGAUGUGCCAGUCGUCUCUCAAUCUGAAGUUUCAGCAUUGAAAGUGUCAUUAUCAGAGAAGAUGGGUACUUGUCCCAUUGCUGGUGCUGGAAUGCGGUCUUCGAUGGCCCUGUUGUGGAGGCGGCAGCAACAUUCGAUGAUCCUCACACAUUUUGAAGGGGUGUAGGCCAAAGCUCCUCCUGUUUUGUGCAGACAUCUGUAACAGAAUAUUGACGUUAUGAUUAACAUGGAUAUGAAUUAUGAUCCGUCACCAAGUCAUGCGUUUGUUGGAAAGUAUAAAUUUAUGCAUUGUCAAGUCCCAAACAUUAUUUUGUAUUUUUUCAAAGAAUUUUGCAUGUUUUUGCAACUAUUUGUAUGGCCCAUUUGUAAAUGGGUUAGUGAUGUUUUAAAAAUAAUUUUGUAAAAAAUGAAUUUGAAAUAAUUUUAUGAUUUGGGUGUUCUGUAUCUAAUUCUCCCUUUUCUGUAUUGUAAGCUCAUCAUCAUCGGAUGGGGGAGCGAUGUUGUCCCAUUAGAAGUGCAGUCUUGGGAAAAAGUUAAAUUAAAGAAAUAAAGAGAAGAUAAAAGAGAAGUGUUACCCAGGACACCAAAAGCCCUCUCAACACAGUUUCUUGUCUUAAUGUGACUGGCAUUGUAUUUCUCCUGCUGUCCUGCUUGGGGUGUGAGGAAAGGAGUCAUUAACCAUGGACGAAGGGGGUAGCCACUGUCCCCUAAAAGCCAUCCUCCACCUGGCAGCUGGUCCAUUAUCUCGGGAAUGCACGAGUUUGCAAGUCAGCCGUCACGAUUCCCUGCAUAUUUAUGGCAUGAAAUCCUUUCCUGCACACAAAAACAUGCUCAUCGUCUCCAGUCAUUCCCAUGAUUGGAAUCAGAGUUCCAUCAAUGGCACCAACUACGUUGGGGAAGUUUGCCA
Magallana angulata is the source of this 3192-nucleotide RNA transcript. RefSeq lists it as uncharacterized. The transcript is spliced from 5 exons. Lineage: Eukaryota; Metazoa; Mollusca; Bivalvia; Ostreida; Ostreidae. The record is from RefSeq and is a predicted model, not a curated record.